UACGUAGGUGACCAGCGUUGUCCGGAUUUACUGGGCGUAAAGAGCGCGCAGGCGGUCGUUCAAGUCGAGUGUGAAAGCCCCCGGCUCAACUGGGGAGGGUCACUCGAUACUGAUCGACUUGAAGGCAGGAGAGGGAAGCGGAAUUCCCGGUGUAGUGGUGAAAUGCGCAGAUAUCAGGAGGAACACCGGUGGCGAAGGCGGUUCUCUGGGCAUUACCUGACGCUGAGGAGCGAAAGUGUGGGGAGCGAACAGG
This 253-nucleotide ribosomal RNA is filed under the name uncultured bacterium. RNAcentral describes it as "partial 16S ribosomal RNA". It matches the Rfam family "Bacterial small subunit ribosomal RNA", at positions 524 to 776 of the family's 1533-position model. The record is from RNAcentral.